Long non-coding RNA from Frieseomelitta varia, 175 nucleotides. RefSeq lists it as uncharacterized. The transcript has 2 exons. Lineage: Eukaryota; Metazoa; Arthropoda; Insecta; Hymenoptera; Apidae. The record is from RefSeq and is a predicted model, not a curated record.
GUUGCGAUGUAAUUGCAUCACGGCCAAAUGGUUUCUCUAUAAUCACUCUGGUCCAUCCUCUUUACGAAAAAGGAAACAAAAAUAUGUAUGACGACAAUGUUUAAUAUGUAAUUAGGAAGUGUACAACUUACUUGUUACCCAUACAAACGUUCCUAAUAUGUACGGUUACGCUUUC